RNAcentral lists this transfer RNA (71 nucleotides) under Marmota marmota marmota (Alpine marmot). It matches the Rfam family "tRNA". From Rfam's summary of the family: Transfer RNA (tRNA) molecules are approximately 80 nucleotides in length. Their secondary structure includes four short double-helical elements and three loops (D, anti-codon, and T loops). The record is from Rfam by way of RNAcentral. RNAcentral also lists the same sequence under 1 other name. Lineage: Eukaryota; Metazoa; Chordata; Mammalia; Rodentia; Sciuridae.
GGGGUUGUGGCUCAGUAGUAGAGUACUUGCCUAGCAUGUGUGAAGCACUAGGUUCAAUCCUUAGCACCCCA